This is a long non-coding RNA of Peromyscus leucopus (white-footed mouse), 855 nucleotides long. RefSeq lists it as uncharacterized. The transcript has 3 exons. The record is from RefSeq and is a predicted model, not a curated record. NCBI's taxonomy places the organism in Eukaryota, Metazoa, Chordata, Mammalia, Rodentia, Cricetidae.
UUCAGACAGCCCUGGAGGAGAUGCAUAAUGAAGUGGAAGGGCGCAGAGUACCUGUCAUUCCUAAGUUGGUGGUGAGCAAAAGGUAAAAAUAGCGCGCAGUGGUGACAAGCGCUUCUGGUCAGCUGAGCUGCUUUUGAAGCCAGAGCUGAGGGUCACACUUUUGCUCUCUGUCGUCUCAUCGAAAGGGAUAAUCACGAAGAGAGGAGAAAUGGACAGUGUAAAAGAGUGGUGUGGCUGGCGUACAGAUGAUCAAACUGAGCAUGUGAUUAACAUGCUUCCUAAUGCUCACACCAAGUCCAGUGAAGAGAAGAAGUGAUCCAAGAAACCGGCCCAAUUCAAACCUUGCACCACUGUCCCUUAAGGACAUAUUUGAUUUUGUUACACUUUUGAAAUGCAAAACAAGACCACCCCUUUCCCUGCUUUACAAUUGCAAAAAGCUAAAGAUGCAAGUCUAUAAAACCAGUAAGCGUGCUGCUGCUGAGGGCUGUGAACUGUUUUAUAAAACAUAAAAGAAAGACGGAGGAAAGUGUGCUCUCAGAUGGAUUAUUCGGUGAAUGGAAAAGCUGGCGGCGAUAAGCAAUCAGUGAGCGACCUUUGUAUUAAUGCUGUUCACCAGCAGUGUGGUGGCAGCAAUAGACCCCAGCUUUAUGAGCCUAGACCUAUGUUUAAGAGUGUAUCAACCAUCUUAGAUUUCCCUGACAAUGCAACCACUUGGCGUUGCCAGGGCUGUUUUCUGUCCCCCCUCCCCCCGUUUCACAGGUAUGUACUGCUCUAUUACUAUAGUUGUGAUUUUUAUUUCCAUAAAUAACUCACAAUUUGAAGCAUCGUUUUAUAUUCUUGGUUGAUUUGCUCUUU